Molecule: ribosomal RNA, 497 nt
Filed under: uncultured bacterium
Lineage: Bacteria
Description: partial 16S ribosomal RNA
Rfam family: Bacterial small subunit ribosomal RNA
Source: RNAcentral
GAUGAACGCUGGCGGCGUGCCUAAUACAUGCAAGUCGAGCGAACAGACGAGGAGCUUGCUCCUCUGACGUUGGCGGCGGACGGGUGAGUAACACGUGGAUCACCUACCUAUAAGACUGGGAUAACUUCGGGAAACCGGAGCUAAUACCGGAUAAUAUCUUGAACCGCAUGGUUCAAUAGUGAAAGACGGUUUUGCUGUCACUUAUAGAUGGAUCCGCGCCGCAUUAGCUAGUUGGUAAGGUAACGGCUUACCAAGGCAACGAUGCGUAGCCGACCGGAGAGGGUGAUCGGCCACACUGGAACGUAGACACCGUCCAGACUCCUACGGGAGGCAGCAGUAGGGAAUCUUCCGCAAUGGGCGAAAGCCUGACGAAGCAACGCCACGUGAGUUAUGAAGGUCUUCGGAUCGUAAAACUCUGUUAUGAGGGAAGAACAAAUGUGUAAGUAACUAUGCACGUCUUGACGGUACCUAAUCAGAAAGCCACGGCUAACUACGUG